Molecule: ribosomal RNA, 240 nt
Filed under: uncultured Lactobacillus sp.
Lineage: Bacteria; Bacillati; Bacillota; Bacilli; Lactobacillales; Lactobacillaceae
Description: partial 16S ribosomal RNA
Rfam family: Bacterial small subunit ribosomal RNA
Source: RNAcentral
UAACCUGCCCAAGAGAUCGGGAUAACACCUGGAAACAGAUGCUAAUACCGGAUAACAACAGAUGAUGCCUAUCAACUGUUUAAAAGAUGGUUCUGCUAUCACUCUUGGAUGGACCUGCGGUGCAUUAGCUAGUUGGUGGGGUAACGGCCUACCAAGGCGAUGAUGCAUAGCCGAGUUGAGAGACUGAUCGGCCACAUUGGGACUGAGACACGGCCCAAACUCCUACGGGAGGCAGCAGGC